Molecule: ribosomal RNA, 425 nt
Filed under: uncultured bacterium
Lineage: Bacteria
Description: partial 16S ribosomal RNA
Rfam family: Bacterial small subunit ribosomal RNA
Source: RNAcentral
GUGGGGAAUAUUGCACAAUGGGGGAAACCCUGAUGCAGCAACGCCGCGUGAAGGAAGAAGUAUUUCGGUAUGUAAACUUCUAUCAGCAGGGAAGAAAAUGACGGUACCUGACUAAGAAGCCCCGGCUAACUACGUGCCAGCAGCCGCGGUAAUACGUAGGGGGCAAGCGUUAUCCGGAUUUACUGGGUGUAAUGGGAGCGUAGGUGGUAUGGCAAGUCAGAUGUGAAAGCCCGGGGCUCAACCCCGGGACUGCAGUUGAAACUGUCAGACUAGAGUGCAGGAGAGGUAAGUGGAAAUCCUAGUGUAGCGGUGAAAUGCGUAGAUAUUAGGAGGAACACCAGUGGCGAAGGCGGCUUACUGGACUGUAACUGACACUGAGGCUCGAAAGCGUGGGGAGCAAACAGGAUUAGAAACCCUGGUAGUCC